RNAcentral lists this ribosomal RNA (120 nucleotides) under uncultured bacterium. RNAcentral's name for it is "partial 16S ribosomal RNA". It matches the Rfam family "Bacterial small subunit ribosomal RNA", at positions 28 to 144 of the family's 1533-position model. The record is from RNAcentral.
GAUGAACGCUAGCGGCAGGCCUAAUACAUGCAAGUCGAACGGCAGCACGAGUAGCAAUACUUGGUGGCGAGUGGCGCACGGGUGCGUAACACGUAUGCAAUCUACCCAUAACAUGGGGAU